GUACAUAGAGUCCCUGAGUACUCUUCCCCCAGUGGUGACAACUGUAGUAUAAUAUCAAUUCUGGGAAAUUGACAUUGGUACAAUACCAAAUAUACUAUGCCUUUUUCUCUAAGGCAUGAUGUUGCAGUAGCAUCCUUGUACAUGUAGCUAGGAGAACUUGUACUAAGCCCAGAUAAAUAGUUGAAGUACAAGGGCAAGGAGUGUGUCUUUGAUAUUUUAAUAGAAAUCACCUAUUGCCCUCUAGAAAAGCUGUACCCUUUUCCAGUGGCAGAGAACCUUCCUGAAAGGCAGUCCUGUGUAAUGGUGUCCAUUUCAUCACACCCUUAAAACACUCAGCUUUAACAAACAUGCAGAUUUUUGCUGAUGUGGGAGAAAAUAUUAAUUAUUAAUGAUAUUAAGGUGAUUAUCUUUUCGUAUGUUUAUAGAUAUUUGUAUUUCUUUUUAAAUGAACUGCUCAUGACCUUUGUCUACUUUUAUUUGGGUUUACUUCUUUCUCAUUUAUUCCUAUAAACUCUUUAUAAAAGGAAAUUAACCAUUUGAUUGUCAUAUGUUGUGAAUAUUUUUACCAUUUUGACUUUUGAAUUUAUGUCUUUUUAAUGAAUUGUAGAAGUUUAAAAUCUUUAUGGAAUAAAUUUAUUUAGUUUUUUGUUUAUGG
This 655-nucleotide long non-coding RNA is filed under the name Homo sapiens (human). Its description in RNAcentral is "partial DHRS4-AS1". Lineage: Eukaryota; Metazoa; Chordata; Mammalia; Primates; Hominidae. The record is from RNAcentral.